AUGGUCAUCUUCCUGAUAACACGAGAGAGAGAGAGAGAGAGAGAGAGAGAGAUGAGAGCGGGAGAGGGAAGCAGAGGAGAACGAGAAGAAGGCAGGGGAAGGAAGGGAAGGGAAAGGGGCGUCGCGGUGGUGCUUGAGCACCGGGCAAGGUCGCCGGCGUGGCGAACGACAGCGCAGGGAGACGAGGUCGAGCACUCCUGCUCGGGGCCUCGACAGCAACUUGGUGGGAUCGAGGGGAGGAGUGGAGUGCUUCGUGGAGGAGAAGGUGGAUCUAAUUGGCUUGGCACGGAAUGCAAGGAGGAGGAAGGCAUCAGGUGGCGGCGUGGAUGGACUGAUGCGACAAGCGGGCUAGAUUUUAGGGAUUAG
This 366-nucleotide ribosomal RNA is filed under the name Triticum aestivum (bread wheat). RNAcentral's name for it is "partial small subunit ribosomal RNA". The record is from RNAcentral. Lineage: Eukaryota; Viridiplantae; Streptophyta; Magnoliopsida; Poales; Poaceae.